Non-coding RNA from Drosophila bipectinata, 571 nucleotides. The record is from RefSeq and is a predicted model, not a curated record. NCBI's taxonomy places the organism in Eukaryota, Metazoa, Arthropoda, Insecta, Diptera, Drosophilidae.
CCCGACCCCACCGGUGGCGCAUUUUUCCAGCAACGACUGAAACUGAAAAAGCGGAAUUGGGAAUCCGAGGAACACGAAUGCUCGCCAAAGCAAAACGGACAAAAAUUGGCGCAAAUUUACUCGCGAGGCGCAACCAGUGACGUCGUCGUCGGGGCUUUUUUUCAGUGCGUGAGUGCUUUUUUAGCCGACCGGCAAAUUUUUAUUCCUUAAAUUGGGCUAGAAAAAAAUAAUAAAAUAACUAGUAGGCGCCACCGGACAUAAAAAUCGGGCAUUAUUCUGCUAUUUCGAUGGAAAAUGAUUUUUUUUUUUUUGACUGAGAGAAGAGAACCAGACCUAGCACUCGCUGACUCGCGUCUCGCUGGAUGGGUCGUCUGCCGGCCCGCCUGCACGCACGCAAAACGCCACUGACUACCCUAUUGCCAUCUCACUCGAAUCCGUGCUAACGUGUCGGUGUUGUGUGUGAGUGUUCUCUGUGUAUGUGCAACAAACAACGGCUGCCGCUAUAAGAGAAAAAAAAAAUUUUUAUGUGCAAUGUUAGAGCGGCAAACGGCGGCAGCAGCAACAGCAGCAA